Long non-coding RNA from Orcinus orca (killer whale), 2631 nucleotides. RefSeq lists it as uncharacterized. The transcript has 13 exons. NCBI's taxonomy places the organism in Eukaryota, Metazoa, Chordata, Mammalia, Artiodactyla, Delphinidae. The record is from RefSeq and is a predicted model, not a curated record.
CUCAACCACUGCGCCACCAGGGAAGCCCAGUCCUCAAAUUUUGCGGUUAAAAAACGGAGUAUUGUUGAAUGACUGUCCUUGAAGGUGACUGAACAGCAUCAAAGAGAUGGGAGAGAGAGACAUGCUGGCAAAAAGAGUGAGGACGGAGCAAAGCCCCAAUGCUUAAGAUGAAGAAAAAGAUGUUAAUAGAGACGUGGUAAGGGGAAGCUUGAACUAUGAUACUCCUCUGAUCCAGAACGCCAUUGAGAAACCUGGGUUGGUACAGUGGAGGAUAAAAUCAGCCUCAAGGCCGCAUAGCCUGAACAAGAUUUCAAGCAUGUGGAACUUCCCCCACCAGGGAUCGAACCCGUGCCCCGUGAAGUGGAAGUGUGGAGUCUUAACCACUGGACCAUCGAUGAAGUCCCAGAAAAAGUCUUAUAUUUACCCAGUACUUUAAAGCUACUGUUCCAUUGUUGGCUUAGUCUGCUCCAGCUGCUAUAACAAAAAUACCAUACACUGUGUGGCUUAAAUACAAACACUUAUUUCUCACAGUUCUGGAGGCUGGGAUGUCCAAGAUAAAGGUACCAGCUGAUUCAUUGUCUGAUUCUUUUCCCAUAUAGGUCAUCACAGAGUAUUGAGAAGAGUUCCCUGUGCUAUACAGGGGCACAGGUUUGAUCCAGCGGGUCGGGGAACUAAGAUCCCCCAUUCCUCGUGGUGCAGCCAAAACAAAAAAAUGGAGGAGGACAUCAAGGUGGUCAACGACAGACUGAGUGUUCGGUAUCACUAAUCGUAAUGUGAAGGCAAACUGAGAUACCACCAUGCACACCAAAUGGCUAAAACGUGACACGUUGGGUCCCACCGUUGGUCAAGGCAACACCUCAACUCUGUUCUAGCUCUCCGCUCAAUCCUGCAGGUUCCAACCGGCCUCCCUUUCUUGGUGAAAUACCAGAGUCUUAUCUUCCUUUUUCAAAUGGAAAUCGUGCUGUGAAAUCUGCAAACUAUAACUUCUAUCAGGUUAAAUAUAUGUAAAUAGCGCCUCAAAGAACAGAGGUAUGCUCUGUGGGAUUCCAGGCUGCCCCUCAGAAGCACACUGCUGAUGUGUCUUAAGGCUGGAGACUGUGGGCACCGGAACAAACUUCUGCUUUAAACCCCGGAGGAAGACAGGAAAAGGAGAGCUUGCCUCUUACGCUAAACAGCCCUCAGGACGGAGACCCCAGAGUCGCCUCUCCCUCUCCCCGUGACUGGCGAAGUGUCAAGUGCCGUACAGCCUAGGGAGUCUGAGGAUAGCGUGGACGUCAUGAGAGCAGGUGAGGAAGAGGGCAAGGAGAAGGUGGAGAGCAGGUAUAUAUGCCGAUCCUUCCACCCACAGCAACAUUAUAGCAACUGGCCGGGAGAUCAGAAGCCUGUGGGGCAACACACCGCCUGGUGCAGCGAUGCUCGGGCCAGGGAAUGAAGUUCAGACCACCGCCAGUGUUACAUCAGCUCAAAAUAUGGAAACACAAACCCAGUAAUAAAAACCAGAGAGAAGUGAGCUUUUCCUCUGUUGUUCACUCUAUGGACCCACAAGCCCAUUUUCCAGGUCUUGGCCUAGCUCUGCAGACUGCCCGAACUGCUUCGAUCCUACAACCCCAGUGCACGUUUGCCUUCCACCUCAAAUUCUCGCCGAAAAUUCUCUUAUCUACCCACAACGAUCUCUCUUAAUUUCUGAAAAUGAAAGCCUGAUUGUCAGGUGUGAGAACAAUCUACAGAGACCUGCUAAAAUGUCCUAGGAAACACCCAGAAACAGAACAGAUGAGAAAAACAAGGCUGAGAAAGGUUAAGUAACUUGAUCAAGAUCACACAACCAGCAAGUGGCUGAGCCAGGAUUUAAACUGCAGUCUGACUCCAGACCCUGUGGUCCUGACUUCGAAGCCCUCAACUUUCACAAAAGAAGUAGUUUGGGUGAAAUUUUUUUUCAGAAAGAAGGCUUUUAUCAAGGUUGAUGAUUGCCGCCCCUACAAAGGACCUCCUGAGGCUCUGCUGUGCCAAUAUCUCACUCCAUAAAGCACGUCUUGCCUUCUAUACAGUGGAGUGUCCACUGAGUGCCAGGUCUGCUCAGCACUUCAUACAAUGGCAGCAUAAUGACAUAUACGGAUGCUCAGUGGAGGUGUCCAUGAAGAAACCAGAAGUCACCUUGCUGAUGAGAGGUGAAGGAGGCCUCAAACUUGGGGUUCAUAAAAAAUUCCAGUUGGAACAGAUGUUCUCUUAGCUCACACAAGAAGCUGUCUGUACUGAACAUCUUAUCUCACCACACCAACAGCCAAGUAAUAAACCCAGAAUGACAAAAGGAGCUUCCAGAAUAUGGCAACAAUGCCUUGCAGCAGUUCUGCUACAAAUACCAACAUUACAUGGGUAAAGUAUAGAAACCAUCUCUUAACAUUCUUAUCUUGAAAGGAUGGCUAUCUUCUGUGAAUUAUUCAGUAGUUGGCCCAGAUCCCAUAGAAUUUUGAAGACCUUAGAAAACUAGAACUUUGGGAUUUCCCUGGUUAAGACUCCAGGGAAGUCCAAUAGUUAAGACUCCAAGCUUCCACUGCAGGGGGCACGGGUUCGAUCCCUGGUCAGGGAACUAAGAUCCCACAUGCCGUGCAGCGUGGCCAAAAAAAAAAAAAAGAA